Molecule: long non-coding RNA, 1630 nt
Organism: Prosopis cineraria
Lineage: Eukaryota; Viridiplantae; Streptophyta; Magnoliopsida; Fabales; Fabaceae
Exons: 6
Source: RefSeq, a predicted model, not a curated record
CAGGAGAAGCAAUCAGUCAGACACGCAAAAAGAAAGAAGAAAGGAGCCACAGACAGAAGAAACAAGAUUGGAGAGAGGCAGAGACUAGAGGGAAGUGGACACAAAGCAGAGCACACAAUCAGGAAAAGAAGAAGCAGAGCACAAAAAUACAUAGACGAGUCACGCACGCGAUCGAAGAGAUCUAGAAGAAAAGUGUGAAGGCAAAAGAAGCAACACACGGAAGAGACACACACGCACACACACGGCGACGUAGCGGAAGAAAAGGGAAAAAGUCAAAAGAAAGAGAUACACGUGAUCAAAAGGAGCAGAAUAGGGAUGGCAGUCUGAGAUGGAAGCGUGUAACGGUAAGUAAUCGUAUGCUCUCUAUUUAAAGCCUGGAAUUCGAAGAAAGGAGGGGGCAAGGAAGAGAAAUCAAAAUCAAAGAGGUGAUUUUUGAAAAGAGAAGGAAGAAAGGGGAACUGGGUCGAAUUUCUAAAAAAAAACAGAGAGGCCAUUAAGAAGAUUUCUAAAAGGGGGGCCUGGAUGAAUUUCUGAAAAGAGGAAAUUAGGCAAGGAGAGACCGAACCACUAUUUUUUCUUUGAAGAAAAGAGACUGAGAAGAAAUGAGGGAGGCUAUGGUUGAAUCUGAAAAUGAUCUGAGUCUUUGAAAGCAGGAGGAGUUUGGAAAUUCUCAUCUGCUGUAAUAGGUUUGAAAUUUAUGCAUAUGAAUUAUUCUGGUUUUGAUCGAGUAGCUCAGGUUUCCUAAUUGAUUAUCUUUUUUUUAACUGUGAUGUGGUGUAGGGAUUUGGAACUGGAAUUAGAAAGAUUCUUGUUUGUGUUCUCCUUAUUCAGUUGAUUGGUUGGAAGAUCUAAGUUUGGCACCAUAUAUGUAUGUGUUGAACUAAGGAAUAUGGGAUUAGCUCAAUAACAUCUUCUCCUUCUUUGUCAAUGGUAAAGGAACUGAUCAAAGAAUGGCUCAGGAUCGGGAGGGUGUUUGGCUAUUGACUGUCUUUUCCUUCACUCAUUGAAACGUCUUCUCUUUCUCCAUCAAUGGCAAAGGAACUAGUCAAAUAUUCAGUGGUGGACAUGUUCACAGAGUCACCUUUCAAGGGAAGCCCCGUAGCAAUGUGUCUACUAGAGGAAGAGAGGGACGACAAUUGGUUGCAAGUGAUAGCCACUGAGUUCAAUAUCUAGGAGACCUGUUACUUGACUCGAAUUGCUGAGUCAGAGGGUCCUGCCCACUUGAUCAAUGCUAGCUCUAACCCUCAUUUCUGUCUUAGAUGGUUCACUCCCAUCUGCAAGACUCAGGAUUUGACUUCUACAGCAAAUUCUUUUGCCCAAAAUUUAGAAUCAAUGAGGAGUGUACAUUGUGCUUUAGCAUCUUAUUGGAGCAAGAAACUUGGGAAGCUCGAUUUUAAUACUAAUUAGGCAUCAUCAAGAGGCGAAGUUCUCAAUAUUUAUCUUGAUGAGCAGAACCAAAGGGUGCUAUUAUGAGGAAAAGCUAUUACGGGAUAGAAGGAUGCAUUAUAGUUUAGUCCUGCUUUGGCAUUGCAAAUAUAAGUAACAUGAAUAAAUGUAGUGGAUAACAUGACCCACUGCAACUGAGUUUAAAUUCUUAAACUAUUAUAAUGAUAUUGAAUGUUGAGAAGUA